This 468-nucleotide ribosomal RNA is filed under the name uncultured bacterium. RNAcentral's name for it is "partial 16S ribosomal RNA". It matches the Rfam family "Bacterial small subunit ribosomal RNA", at positions 28 to 507 of the family's 1533-position model. The record is from RNAcentral.
GACGAACGCUGGCGGCGUGCUUAACACAUGCAAGUCGAACGGAAAGGCCCUGCUUUUGUGGGGUGCUCGAGUGGCGAACGGGUGAGUAACACGUGAGUAACCUGCCCUUGACUUUGGGAUAACUUCAGGAAACUGGGGCUAAUACCGGAUAGGAGCUCCUGCUGCAUGGUGGGGGUUGGAAAGUUUCGGCGGUUGGGGAUGGACUCGCGGCUUAUCAGCUUGUUGGUGGGGUAGUGGCUUACCAAGGCUUUGACGGGUAGCCGGCCUGAGAGGGUGACCGGCCACAUUGGGACUGAGAUACGGCCCAGACGCCUACGGGAGGCAGCAGUGGGGAAUAUUGCACAAUGGGCGGAAGCCUGAUGCAGCAACGCCGCGUGCGGGAUGACGGCCUUCGGGUUGUAAACCGCUUUCGCCUGUGACAAAGCGUGAGUGACGGUAAUGGGUAAAGAAGCACCGGCUAACUACGUG